Paramormyrops kingsleyae is the source of this 243-nucleotide non-coding RNA. Lineage: Eukaryota; Metazoa; Chordata; Actinopteri; Osteoglossiformes; Mormyridae. The record is from RefSeq and is a predicted model, not a curated record.
AACCACAAUCAAGGACUGCUGAGAACAACAGCUUGCUUAAAGGAGGACGCACUUUGGUUAUCCCUGCUGGAGGUCUCUGGGCAGCAGGAAUGUCAGGAAUGCCCGUAAACAGAUGACAUCAGGGUUCCCCUGCUUUCUGCGUGUGGCUGUGGUUGUGAUGGUGGUCUGGACUGCCAACGCUGCCCGUGCUGGAGGUGCUACUUCCAUCCCCGACAUCUCGGAGAGUGCUGGAUCCACCGUUCA